UCACAUUCUAAAAAUGGAGACACUAGCCCU
Molecule: non-coding RNA, 30 nt
Filed under: Mus musculus (house mouse)
Lineage: Eukaryota; Metazoa; Chordata; Mammalia; Rodentia; Muridae
Source: RNAcentral